GUUUAAAAACCGCAACGUUUCUGCGAUCUCCGGUAACGUCGAACUCGCCCGUUUUCGGAUUUUGCAUUCGCCUAAAAUUAUAAACCGAUCAAUAAUAUUAUGAAUACCGUCCAACGGGAUAUUAAGUAUUAUCUCCGAUAGCGGCAAGGUGAGUGCACGCGGGUGUACGUUAUGCUCAAUCGUAUUUGAUUAUUUGUCGCUUCGGCGUGCAGGCCGAGUAAUUUGCUCAACCG
This is a non-coding RNA of Cinara cedri, 233 nucleotides long. The record is from the annotation of a GenBank genome assembly. Lineage: Eukaryota; Metazoa; Arthropoda; Insecta; Hemiptera; Aphididae.